GAGGAUCGUAACCUUUGCUUUGUAACGACGUGCUUUUCUCUCGAGUUUCUCCACUUUCUCCACAAUUUCUUUGAAGGGCAACCUCUAUAAUCAAAUGCUGUGUGAAUGUGGCCAUGUAAAGUAUGUGACAUCUCAUUACCUACAAGGUGUCCUGUUGGAGUGAUG
Molecule: long non-coding RNA, 165 nt
Organism: Osmerus eperlanus (European smelt)
Lineage: Eukaryota; Metazoa; Chordata; Actinopteri; Osmeriformes; Osmeridae
Exons: 4
Source: RefSeq, a predicted model, not a curated record